ACAAGUUAGAUGUAGUAGUGGCAGUUGAAGCGCCAGAUGACCCAAAAAGGGACGACCCAGAAUUUGCAGUGGAUGAAGCCGUCCCAAACAGGAAUGAAAAUGAACUUGCAGAGGAUGACGGUAUACCAAACAGGGAUGGCCCAGAACUGGCUGCAGACGAAGUUUUUCCGAACAAAGAUGGGGCAGAGCUCGCCGCCGAUGAAUUGCCAACCAGAGGUGAAGGAGAACUCGCUGCAGACGUAGUAGUGCCAAACAGGGGCGAAGGAGAACUUUCUACAGACGAAGCAAUGCCAAACAGGUAACUUGCUCCUAAUGAAGUUGAUCCAACUAAGGAUGAAGCGCUUGUUCCAAACAAUGGUGAAGAAGUAAUUCCCCCAGACAAAGACGAGCUGGUACUGGCUGCCACCGGUCCCGCUGUUUGGAAUGGAGGCGAGGCAGUACCUGCCGGAUAAGAAACAUUCCCAAACAGAGGAGAAGCAUAACUCGCGACAGAAGAAACAGUCCCAAACGAGGCACAGGCAGAACUCGCAGCAGAAGAAA
This 540-nucleotide unclassified non-coding RNA is filed under the name Hevea brasiliensis (rubber tree). Lineage: Eukaryota; Viridiplantae; Streptophyta; Magnoliopsida; Malpighiales; Euphorbiaceae. The record is from RNAcentral.